UAGCUCAGAUGGUAGAGUACUUGCCUUGCAUGUAGAAGGCCCUGGGUUCAAUUCCCAG
Molecule: transfer RNA, 58 nt
Filed under: Ictidomys tridecemlineatus (thirteen-lined ground squirrel)
Lineage: Eukaryota; Metazoa; Chordata; Mammalia; Rodentia; Sciuridae
Description: Spermophilus tridecemlineatus (thirteen-lined ground squirrel) tRNA
Rfam family: tRNA
About the family: Transfer RNA (tRNA) molecules are approximately 80 nucleotides in length. Their secondary structure includes four short double-helical elements and three loops (D, anti-codon, and T loops).
Source: Rfam by way of RNAcentral